This 515-nucleotide ribosomal RNA is filed under the name Crassostrea brasiliana. Its description in RNAcentral is "partial 16S ribosomal RNA". It matches the Rfam family "Bacterial large subunit ribosomal RNA", at positions 1807 to 2610 of the family's 2925-position model. Lineage: Eukaryota; Metazoa; Mollusca; Bivalvia; Ostreida; Ostreidae. The record is from RNAcentral.
UCAAAAACAUCGCUAAAAGUAGUUGAUUUUUAGUAGUACCUGCCCAGUGCGUAUUAUCUUGUUAACGGCCGCCUUAGCGUGAGGGUGCUAAGGUAGCGAAAUUCCUUGCCUUUUAAUUGUAGGCCAGCAUGAAUGGUUUGACGAGGGCCUCACUGUCUCUUAGUUCUAUGUUGAAAUUGUAGUGUAGGUGAAGAUACCUUCAUAAAAAAGUAAGACAAAAAGACCCCGUGCAACUUUGAAAAUUAAGCUAGAUUAAAUGGCAAAAGAUUUUUAGGUGGGGCGCCAAAAGAGGAAACUAUAACCUCUGCUGUUUAAGCUAAUUCUUACUGGAGUUGACCUGACUUAAGUCGAUCAAAGGAGAAGUUACGCCGGGGAUAACAGGCCAAUUCUUUAGUAAAGCUCGUAUUAACUAAAGGGCUUGGCACCUCGAUGUUGAAUCAGGGAUUAUAGCUUCAAGGCGUAGAUGCUUUGAUUAGUAGGUCUGUUCGACCUUUGAAACCCUACGUGAUCUGAGU